UGCGUAGGGGGCUAGCGUUAUCCGGAAUUACUGGGCGUAAAGGGUGCGUAGGUGGUUUUUCAAGUCAGGAGUGAAAGGCUACGGCUCAACCGUAGUAAGCUCUUGAAACUGUGAAACUUGAGUGCAGGAGAGGAGAGUGGAAUUCCUAGUGUAGCGGUGAAAUGCGUAGAUAUGAGGAGGAACACCAGUUGCGAAGGCGGCUCUCUGGACUGUAACUAACACUGAGCCAAGAAAGCGUGGGGAGCAAACAGG
Molecule: ribosomal RNA, 252 nt
Filed under: uncultured bacterium
Lineage: Bacteria
Description: partial 16S ribosomal RNA
Rfam family: Bacterial small subunit ribosomal RNA
Source: RNAcentral